GUGUCCCCUUUUUCUUUGUUUGCCUCAGAAAGCCCAUCACAAACAAUUCACCGCUCCACCUCACAAAUUUCGCCCGGAGGCUUGUUCCAACGGGGCAGCGUGGCGGCGACAUCGGCAGGUCACCGCUCCCAAAUGCGACUACAACAACAACCUCUUGCAGCUUAAUCCACACCCUCAAGGUGCCGCCAUGAAGAACGGCCACAAACGACGAUGGCAGCAGCGGCUUGGGGGCAUCAAAGUCGUGGAAUUCAUGCCGGAUUGACAAAUUUGUAACAUUUGUAUGCAAUGUGAGUUGUACAAUCUGCAGUUUUGUUGGUUUUAUCUUGUCUUAAGCCCAUCCAGACACACGUCACAAUCCUCCCUCGUAUGAAAACCCUACACCAGCAUUCUUUUCCACACAGAGGCCUGGAUAGAUAGAGAGAGAUAUGGAGAAAGACAGUUGCAGCUACAAUUUCACCUGCCAGCUGGGCGAUGGUGGUGUUAUCACGGGGCAGCGGCACUUGCGAGUUGAAGUGGGUUUACAGUGGGGAUUUUGCCGCUCAUCUCGAGUCUGUGGAGGGGCUGAUCUUGUAUGGCAAGUUCACACCACAUUUUCCAGGGAGACUAGCCGUGUAAUUGCCGCUAACACCGCAGUAAGACGACGAAGCACUCUUGAGACAGUUACAAAUGGCCUUACGGUCCGCAGUGGUUCUAGCCUGGUUCCAAAGUCCUUUAAUCCCAUUACAACACCUCGCUGGCGGAUUCCCACCGUUCCUUAGGUAACCAAGGCAUGGUGCUACAGCGCCCACAACUUGACCACAUGUCACCGCCUCUACCUCCUGCACAGUGACCGUUAGCAAAACCACUAGCAACGCCACCAUGCACAUUGCCUUAAUAAACAUCAUUGUCAUUGCUAGAA
Molecule: long non-coding RNA, 898 nt
Organism: Helianthus annuus (common sunflower)
Lineage: Eukaryota; Viridiplantae; Streptophyta; Magnoliopsida; Asterales; Asteraceae
Exons: 2
Source: RefSeq, a predicted model, not a curated record